RNAcentral lists this ribosomal RNA (468 nucleotides) under uncultured bacterium. Its description in RNAcentral is "partial 16S ribosomal RNA". It matches the Rfam family "Bacterial small subunit ribosomal RNA", at positions 28 to 507 of the family's 1533-position model. The record is from RNAcentral.
GACGAACGCUGGCGGCGUGCUUAACACAUGCAAGUCGAACGGAAAGGCCCUGCUUUUGUGGGGUGCUCGAGUGGCGAACGGGUGAGUAACACGUGAGUAACCUGCCCUUGACUUUGGGAUAACUUCAGGAAACUGGGGCUAAUACCGGAUAGGAGCUCCUGCUGCAUGGUGGAGGUUGGAAAGUUUCGGCGGUUGGGGAUGGACUCGCGGCUUAUCAGCUUGUUGGUGGGGUAGUGGCUUACCAAGGCUUUGACGGGUAGCCGGCCUGAGAGGGUGACCGGCAACAUUGGGACUGAGAUACGGCCAAGACUCCUAAGGGAGGAAGAAGUGGGGAAUAUUGAAAAAUGGGCGGAAGCCUGAUGCAGCAACGCCGCGUGCGGGAUGAAGGCCGUCGGGUUGUAAACCGCUUUCGCCUGUGACGAAGCGUGAGUGACGGUAAUGGGUAAAGAAGCACCGGCUAACUACGUG